This 431-nucleotide ribosomal RNA is filed under the name uncultured Methanosarcinaceae archaeon. RNAcentral's name for it is "bacterial SSU rRNA". It matches the Rfam family "Archaeal small subunit ribosomal RNA", at positions 584 to 1014 of the family's 1478-position model. The record is from RNAcentral. Lineage: Archaea; Methanobacteriati; Methanobacteriota; Methanomicrobia; Methanosarcinales; Methanosarcinaceae.
CUGCCAGACUUGGAACCGGGAGAGGUAAGAGGUACUACAGGGGUAGGAGUGAAAUCUUGUAAUCCCUGUGGGACCACCUGUGGCGAAGGCGUCUUACCAGAACGGGUUCGACGGUGAGGGACGAAAGCUGGGGGCACGAACCGGAUUAGAUACCCGGGUAGUCCCAGCCGUAAACGAUGCUCGCUAGGUGUCAGGCAUGGCGCGACCGUGUCUGGUGCCGCAGGGAAGCCGUGAAGCGAGCCACCUGGGAAGUACGGCCGCAAGGCUGAAACUUAAAGGAAUUGGCGGGGGAGCACAACAACGGGUGGAGCCUGCGGUUUAAUUGGACUCAACGCCGGACAACUCACCGGGGACGACAGCAAAAUGUAGGCCAGGCUGAAGACCUUGCCUGAAUCGCUGAGAGGAGGUGCAUGGCCGUCGCCAGUUCGUCG